RNAcentral lists this ribosomal RNA (301 nucleotides) under uncultured bacterium. RNAcentral describes it as "partial 16S ribosomal RNA". It matches the Rfam family "Bacterial small subunit ribosomal RNA", at positions 509 to 807 of the family's 1533-position model. The record is from RNAcentral.
CAGUCGCCGCGGUAAUACGAAGGGGGCUAGCGUUGUUCGGAUUUACUGGGCGUAAAGGGCGCGUAGGCGGACUGAUAAGUCAGGGGUGAAAUCCCAAGGCUCAACCUUGGAACUGCCUUUGAUACUGUUUGUCUUGAGUUCGAGAGAGGUAAGUGGAACUGCGAGUGUAGAGGUGAAAUUCGUAGAUAUUCGCAAGAACACCAGUGGCGAAGGCGGCUUACUGGCUCGAAACUGACGCUGAGGCGCGAAAGCGUGGGGAGCAAACAGGAUUAGAUACCCGUGUAGUCCCUGUCUCUUAUAC